GACUUAAUGAAAUUCAAUGAACUCCCAAAAUUGUCCUCAUUCUUUUAUGAGUUUUACACCAACAUAAGAUUUGUUCUGUCGAUCUCACUGCACUCUUCCUUCGCAAAAAUCCUUUCCUUCUCUCUGUGAUUGUCUCACCGAUUCUUCUCUCCCUUUACCAAUGGGUGAGACCGUUCGGGAUUCUGAUCGAUCUGGAUUCUAGUGAUUUACUGCUCAAUCUGACUCACAAAUUCGAUCUUACUUGCAACUAUCGGCGGGUCACCAUGUGGGCUGUACGCCUCUCAUCCUCCAGAUCCAGGUUUCACACAAAUCUCUCGAAUUUCGAUUGACCAAUAACCAGUGGGCAUGGGAAAUUGGGCAAUGCAAUUACCUCUUUACCUUAACCAAAGUUUUAUAUGAUUAUUUGGGAAACUGUAUAAUGUCCUAAAACUUUGGUAAGGAUGCUUGGGAAAGUUGUGUUCGUGCUGUUCUUGAUCAUUACCUCAACAGCUGCCAUAGGUGGAGGUGGAGGGGGAGGGGAGGGGAGGACGUGGUAGAGGUGGAGGUAGAGGAAGUGGAGGCGCCGAUGUGGUGGAGGGCGUGUAAGUGGCGAUGUAGGAUCGAGGUAGAGGUGGACGUGGACGUGGAGGCACUCUUGGUUCAGCAGCAACUGUGAUUUGUUACAUGACCUUGCAAUACUUGCUGUGAUCAAAUCCCCUUGGUUCAGCAAUCGCUGUGAUCAAAUCUCCAACUUACAGUUAGUUCUUGUUCGUAGAAGGUUUGCAGUAUCAAAGGAAGGGUUGAAGCCUUGGGGUGGAAGAGUCUUGAUGUUUAAAUUUUGAUGGGUUUAUCUGUAAAUUUUUAGUUUGGGUAGUUUGAUUCAUUUAAAAAUUCAGUAUAAAAUACACUACAUAAAUAUAGAGGUGCUAGUUGGCACCUUAUUUUUUUAA
This is a long non-coding RNA of Rosa chinensis, 929 nucleotides long. RefSeq lists it as uncharacterized. The record is from RefSeq and is a predicted model, not a curated record. Lineage: Eukaryota; Viridiplantae; Streptophyta; Magnoliopsida; Rosales; Rosaceae. The transcript has 4 exons.